RNAcentral lists this ribosomal RNA (2070 nucleotides) under Chaltenia patagonica. Its description in RNAcentral is "SSU rRNA". It matches the Rfam family "Eukaryotic small subunit ribosomal RNA". Lineage: Eukaryota; Metazoa; Arthropoda; Insecta; Coleoptera; Carabidae. The record is from RNAcentral.
GCCAUGCAUGUCUCAGUACAAACCAAAAUAAGGUGAAACCGCGAAAGGCUCAUUAAAUCAGUUAUGGUUCAUUAGAUCGUACACACAUUUACUUGGAUAACUGUGGUAAUUCUAGAGCUAAUACAUGCAAACAGAGCUCCAACCGGAGACGGAAGGAGUGCUUUUAUUAGAUCAAAACCAAUCGGCCGCAAUAGCGUUUCGGCGUUUAUUGUUCGUCGCUUAUUUUGAUGAUUCUGAAUAACUUUGCUGAUCGCACGGUCUUGCACCGGUGACGUAUCUUUCAAAUGUCUGCCUUAUCAACUGUCGAUGGUAGGUUCUACGCCUACCAUGGUUGUAACGGGUAACGGGGAAUCAGGGUUCGAUUCCGGAGAGGGAGCCUGAGAAACGGCUACCACAUCCAAGGAAGGCAGCAGGCGCGCAAAUUACCCACUCCCAGCACGGGGAGGUAGUGACGAAAAAUAACGAUACGGGACUCAUCCGAGGCCCCGUAAUCGGAAUGAGUACACUUUAAAUCCUUUAACAAGGAUCAAUUGGAGGGUAAGUCUGGUGCCAGCAACCGCGGUAACUCCAGCUCCAAUAGCGUAUAUUAAAGUUGUUGCGGUUAAAAAGCUCGUAGUUGAAUUUGUGUUCCGCGCUGUCGGUUCACCGCCCGCGGUGUUUAACUGGCACGUUUCGCGGAACGUCCUGCCGGUGGAUAGGUAAUUUAUUGUAUACUUCCCCCUUAUUAUGCCUGUUCAUGUAUAUUUUAUAUUUAUAUUAUACUUCAUAUUUAUGGGAUAAAACCUGUUAUAUGUUUGUAUUUAUAUAUUAUAUUUAUAUGUAGAGCAACGUAUAAUUUAGGUGUGGGGUUUCAAUAAUAUAAUUACCAUCCGACUCAAUAAUCCUGUCGCGGUGCUCUUAAUUGAGUGUCGAGGCAGGCCGGCACGUUUACUUUGAACAAAUUAGAGUGCUUAAAGCAGGCUAAAAUUUUGCCUGAAUAUUCUGUGCAUGGAAUAAUGAAACAGGACCUUGGUUCUAUUUUGUUGGUUUUCGGAACAACAAGGUAAUGAUUAAUAGGGACAGAUGGGGGCAUUCGUAUUGCGACGUUAGAGGUGAAAUUCUUGGAUCGUCGCAAGACGAACAGAAGCGAAAGCAUUUGCCAAAGAUGUUUUCAUUAAUCAAGAACGAAAGUCAGAGGUUCGAAGGCGAUCAGAUACCGCCCUAGUUCUGACCAUAAACUAUGCCAGCUAGCGAUCCGCCGAUGUUCCUCCGAUGACUCGGCGGGCAGCUUCCGGGAAACCAAAGCUUUUGGGUUCCGGGGGAAGUAUGGUUGCAAAGCUGAAACUUAAAGGAAUUGACGGAAGGGCACCACCAGGAGUGGAGCCUGCGGUUUAAUUUGACUCAACACGGGAAACCUCACCAGGUCCGGACACCGGAAGGAUUGACAGAUUAAGAGCUCUUUCUUGAUUCGGUGGGUGGUGGUGCAUGGCCGUUCUUAGUUGGUGGUGUGGAUUGUCUGGUUAAUUCCGAUAACGAACGAGACUCUAGCCUACUAACUAGGCGUAAUUUACCGGUAUCUCGAAGGCUUGUGUCUUUCGUUUAUUGUUUAUAUUAUUGUUGUGAUGUUAGUAUAAUGUUUCGGCAUUAUGCGCAUUGCACUUGGUAUAUUCGGUGCGGAAGUUCACGGUUUUUACUACCGGCGUUUAUAUAUUUCUUCUUAGAGGGACAGGCGGCGUAUAGCCGCAUGAGAUUGAGCAAUAACAGGUCUGUAAUGCCCUUAGAUGUCCUGGGCCACACGCGCGCUACACUGAAGGAAUCAGCGUGUCUUCCCUGGCCGAAUGGCCCGGGUAACCCGUUGAACCUCCUUCGUGCUAGGGAUUGGGGAUUGAAAUUCUUCCCCAUGAACGAGGAAUUCCCAGUAAGCGCGAAUCAUAAAUUUGCGUUGAUUACGUCCCUGCCCUUUGUACACACCGCCCGUCGCUACUACCGAUUGAAUUGUUUAGUGAGGUCUUUGGACUGGUACGCGGUAGUGUUCCGACAUUGCCGAUGUAGCUGGAAAGAUGACCGAACUUGAUUAUUUAGAGGAAGUAA